RNAcentral lists this transfer RNA (62 nucleotides) under Thereuonema tuberculata. RNAcentral describes it as "tRNA-Arg". Lineage: Eukaryota; Metazoa; Arthropoda; Chilopoda; Scutigeromorpha; Scutigeridae. The record is from RNAcentral.
AAGUAAAAAGCGAAUCAUCGCAAUCAGUUUCGACCUGAUCAUUGAUAUAAAAUCUUUACUUU